Cyprinus carpio carpio is the source of this 503-nucleotide long non-coding RNA. The record is from Ensembl. Lineage: Eukaryota; Metazoa; Chordata; Actinopteri; Cypriniformes; Cyprinidae.
CUCCUCGUAGAGGUUCAGUCUUACACAUCUCCUAAUGUAAAAGUAUCUCCAGAUGUCAUAAGAGAGUCAAGCUCAGUGAAGAUCAGCUGUGAGACACCAGCAGAUGUUACAGUGGAUCAGUGUUAUUUCAACUCAAACAAAGAACAGAAGAAUAUAAAAGUCAGUUCAUCAUGUGAGCUGGAUGGGCAGCUGUAAAGUCACCUGAAUCACUCAAUAUUUACUGUUACUACACAAUACAUGAGAGAGGCAUCAAUAAACCAUCGUCUGAUUCUCCUCCUGCCACAGUGACACUUCUAGGUUCUCUUCAGAAACCCUUCAUCAGUGUCAGUGACGAUGAUGACUUGCUCUUCAUAGCGUGUGAAAUACCACUUUCAGUCAGAGCUGAUUUCAUCUGUAGUCUCUACACUGAGGAUGAUGCUCUUCUUUAUCAAAGUGUUUCUCAGAGGACUCUGUGUGUUUUUUUUGGGUCAUAGUGAACUCUUGACACGAUCAGUGAACAGCAG